AGUGAACGCUGGCGGUAGGCCUAACACAUGCAAGUCGAACGGCAGCACAGUAAGAGCUUGCUCUUACGGGUGGCGAGUGGCGGACGGGUGAGGAAUACAUCGGAAUCUACUUUUUCGUGGGGGAUAACGUAGGGAAACUUACGCUAAUACCGCAUACGACCUACGGGUGAAAGCAGGGGAUCUUCGGACCCUGCGCGUUUGAAUGAGCCGAUGUCGGAUUAGCUAGUUGGCGGGGUAAAGGCCCACCAAGGCGACGAUCCGUAGCUGGUCUGAGAGGAUGAUCAGCCACACUGGAACUGAGACACGGUCCAGACUCCUACGGGAGGCAGCAGUGGGGAAUAUUGGACAAUGGGCGCAAGCCUGAUCCAGCCAUACCGCGUGGGUGAAGAAGGCCUUCGGGUUGUAAAGCCCUUUUGUUGGGAAAGAAAAGCAGCAGGUUAAUACCCCGCUGUUCUGACGGUACCCAAAGAAUAAGCACCGGCUAACUUC
RNAcentral lists this ribosomal RNA (489 nucleotides) under uncultured bacterium. RNAcentral describes it as "partial 16S ribosomal RNA". It matches the Rfam family "Bacterial small subunit ribosomal RNA", at positions 29 to 504 of the family's 1533-position model. The record is from RNAcentral.